AGAUCUGCAAGUCUCAAACAAAUCCGACCUCGUGGUCGUCAGGUCACAAGAUGAUUAACUACAAGAUGAAAUGGGAAGACAUGUUCCCUUCUUUGACGUCUGUCUAGUGGACUAUCAUACAGUUGUGCUUCCAUGGGGAAGGGUAUCACUGCACCUUUGGAUAUAAAGCCGACAGACUGGUGGAAAGUCAAUGCUGAGAUCUUUCCCAGACAAACAAAUCUGGAACGCCAGUGUCUCUGCACCCCAUCAGCGCCUUCUGAGCGUGUGUUUUCUGCUGUCGGACUGAUUGUGACCCUGUUGGGCUCCAGACAACUGACCAUGUGGACAAGCUUAUUUUCUCAACAAGAAGAGACUGAAUAACUGACAGUAAGUGUGAGCAUGCAGCCGAUGAGAAGAUACCUCCAUCCACGUGAGGACUGGACCGCAGUUGAUCUUGUUGUCGGCGAUGGCAGAGAAGCGGCUCAGGUAGGUGGCCAACAUCUUGGUGACUGACUGAACAGAGACACAAGAUUAUCAAAAUUUAAUGAAGUGUGAA
Notolabrus celidotus (New Zealand spotty) is the source of this 535-nucleotide long non-coding RNA. RefSeq lists it as uncharacterized. Lineage: Eukaryota; Metazoa; Chordata; Actinopteri; Labriformes; Labridae. The transcript is spliced from 3 exons. The record is from RefSeq and is a predicted model, not a curated record.